GACAGUAUGCCAGAGUGGUUAAUGGGUGAGACUCGAACUAUUAAGAGGUAUCUCAUGGGCUUUGCCCGCGCAGGUUCAAAUCCUGCUGCUGUCG
RNAcentral lists this transfer RNA (94 nucleotides) under Dispira parvispora. It matches the Rfam family "tRNA". From Rfam's summary of the family: Transfer RNA (tRNA) molecules are approximately 80 nucleotides in length. Their secondary structure includes four short double-helical elements and three loops (D, anti-codon, and T loops). The record is from Rfam by way of RNAcentral. Lineage: Eukaryota; Fungi; Kickxellomycota; Dimargaritomycetes; Dimargaritales; Dimargaritaceae.